GGUUAGGACUUCAAUAGGUGAAUUUGGUGGUGGGAGGGGAACACAAUUCACAAUUCAGCCCAUAACAAUAGGAAUCACAAUACAUACUAGGUGAAAUAGAUGAAAAGAAAUCCACACCCGACACAAUAUAGUAAAGCUGCAGAACACCAAAGACAAAGAGAAGGUCUUCAAAACAAUCCGAGAGAAAAGCCACACCCUGCUUAACAGUGGAGUGGCUCCCCACCCACCAUCUAUAUUUCUUUUUUCUUUUUUCUUUUCUUUCUUUUUUUUUUUUUUUUUUUUUUUUUGAGGUGGAGUCUCACUCUGUUGCCCAGGAUGGCAUGCAAUGGUGCAAUAUGGGCUUACUGCAAC
This 351-nucleotide long non-coding RNA is filed under the name Homo sapiens (human). RNAcentral's name for it is "non-protein coding lnc-BAG3-3:1". Lineage: Eukaryota; Metazoa; Chordata; Mammalia; Primates; Hominidae. The record is from RNAcentral.